RNAcentral lists this ribosomal RNA (782 nucleotides) under uncultured bacterium. Its description in RNAcentral is "bacterial SSU rRNA". It matches the Rfam family "Bacterial small subunit ribosomal RNA", at positions 60 to 839 of the family's 1533-position model. The record is from RNAcentral.
AGUCGAGCGGAGAUGAAGUGCUUGGCACCUUAUCUUAGCGGCGGACGGGUGAGUAAUGCUUAGGAAUCUGCCUAUUAGUGGGGGACAACAUUCCGAAAGGAAUGCUAAUACCGCAUACGUCCUACGGGAGAAAGCAGGGGAUCUUCGGACCUUGCGCUAAUAGAUGAGCCUAAGUCGGAUUAGCUAGUUGGUGGGGUAAAGGCCUACCAAGGCGACGAUCUGUAGCGGGUCUGAGAGGAUGAUCCGCCACACUGGGACUGAGACACGGCCCAGACUCCUACGGGAGGCAGCAGUGGGGAAUAUUGGACAAUGGGGGGAACCCUGAUCCAGCCAUGCCGCGUGUGUGAAGAAGGCCUUAUGGUUGUAAAGCACUUUAAGCGAGGAGGAGGCUACUGAGACUAAUACUCUUGGAUAGUGGACGUUACUCGCAGAAUAAGCACCGGCUAACUCUGUGCCAGCAGCCGCGGUAAUACAGAGGGUGCGAGCGUUAAUCGGAUUUACUGGGCGUAAAGCGUGCGUAGGCGGCUUUUUAAGUCGGAUGUGAAAUCCCCGAGCUUAACUUGGGAAUUGCAUUCGAUACUGGGAAGCUAGAGUAUGGGAGAGGAUGGUAGAAUUCCAGGUGUAGCGGUGAAAUGCGUAGAGAUCUGGAGGAAUACCGAUGGCGAAGCAGCCAUCUGGCCUAAUACUGACGCUGAUGUACGAAAGCAUGGGGAGCAAACAGGAUUAGAUACCCUGUAGUCCAUGCCGUAAACGAUGUCUACUAGCCGUUGGGGCUUUGAGCU